This 465-nucleotide ribosomal RNA is filed under the name uncultured Klebsiella sp. RNAcentral's name for it is "bacterial SSU rRNA". It matches the Rfam family "Bacterial small subunit ribosomal RNA", at positions 338 to 795 of the family's 1533-position model. Lineage: Bacteria; Pseudomonadati; Pseudomonadota; Gammaproteobacteria; Enterobacterales; Enterobacteriaceae. The record is from RNAcentral.
CCUACGGGCGGCAGCAGUGGGGAAUAUUGCACAAUGGGCGCAAGCCUGAUGCAGCCAUGCCGCGUGUGUGAAGAAGGCCUUCGGGUUGUAAAGCACUUUCAGCGGGGAGGAAGGCGGUGAGGUUAAUAACCUCAUCGAUUGACAUUACCCGCAGAAGAAGCACCGGCUAACUCCGUGCCAGCAGCCGCGGUAAUACGGAGGGUGCAAGCGUUAAUCGGAAUUACUGGGCGUAAAGCGCACGCAGGCGGUCUGUCAAGUCGGAUGUGAAAUCCCCGGGCUCAACCUGGGAACUGCAUUCGAAACUGGCAGGCUAGAGUCUUGUAGAAGGGGGUAGAAUUCCAGGUGUAGCGGUGAAAUGCGUAGAGAUCUGGAGGAACACCGGUGGCGAAGGCGGCCCCCUGGACAAAGACUGACGCUCAGGUGCGAAAGCGUGGGGAGCAAACAGGAUUAGAUACCCGAGUAGUC